RNAcentral lists this ribosomal RNA (433 nucleotides) under uncultured bacterium. RNAcentral describes it as "partial 16S ribosomal RNA". It matches the Rfam family "Bacterial small subunit ribosomal RNA", at positions 29 to 507 of the family's 1533-position model. The record is from RNAcentral.
AACGAACGCUGGCGGCAUGCCUAACACAUGCAAGUCGAACGAGACCUUCGGGUCUAGUGGCGCACGGGUGCGUAACGCGUGGGAACCUGCCCUUAGGUUCGGAAUAACUCCCCGAAAGGGGUGCUAAUACCGGAUAAUGUCUUCGGACCAAAGAUUUAUCGCCUUUGGAUGGGCCCGCGUUGGAUUAGCUAGUUGGUAGGGUAAAAGCCUACCAAGGCGACGUUCCAUAGCUGGUCUGAGAGGAUGAUCAGCCACACUGGGACUGAGACACGGCCCAGACUCUUACGGGAGGCAGCAGUGGGGAAUAUUGGACAAUGGGCGAAAGCCUGAUCCAGCAAUGCCGCGUGAGUGAUGAAGGCCUUAGGGUUGUAAAGCUCUUUUACCCGGGAUGAUAAUGACAGUACCGGGAGAAUAAGCUCCGGCUAACUCCGUG